AUUCAUUCUAUUAUCUAUUUCAUUCUAUUAUCUUCGUUACCGAUGGGGAAAUUCCAUGCAAGCCUUGUAAAGCACUACCUAUUAAAACAAUACUCCAAGCAAAAUCCUUGCUGGGUUCUGAGUAUUGCUGUGAGUUCAACACAAAGCAGCUUUUAUUUAGAACAUAAAUUGGAUUUCCGCUUGUAAAGGAAAGCAUGAGAUAAUGUUCUUUGUCUUAAUUUGACAGUAGAGAGGCUCUUCAGUAUUGGCCAAGAAUCUAAUAUUGGAUCAUACCAAAACACAGGCAUUUGCUUUCUAAAUUGCAUCCAUAAAGAUCCCACGGUCAAGUGCUGCCUCUGACAGAGCAUUUACUAAGAUUUUAAGGCUUCACGUUCAGAUCAUUAAAAAUGCCCAUCUGUCUUUUUUAUUUAAUAUGCCAUCCGCUCUCCAAUUUGGAUAAAAUCUGAGAUCCUGCCCCUAUUGAAACUUCCCAGUUCUUCUACCUCAGUUGUCCGCAGUGCUGUGCUGUGGGCACUGGCUUUGGUGACUCAACUGUCACUAGGAUCAAACUUGUGAUACCAUCUUCCUAGGAGGAAAGGGCAAGGAGAAGGAAGAUGCUUUGUAUGCAUGUGAACACCUCAAUGUUGGAUCCUCCAUAUAUUUUCAAAGUAGAGGCUGUCAAAAUGCUCUGGAGGCUUGCUUCAUGGAUUAGUAAAGGCUUUGCAAAGGCAAUGCCUUUGAGAAAAGCCUUGAAGGGCAAGAAAAACUUCAAGGGAAGGAGAUGGCCAUUCUUGGAUGAGCAAAGGAUGGUCUGGAUCCAAGCUCUGACUGAACUGGAUGAACUAAGGCAGCAGGUGAAGAUGCCAAUUAGAAGACCCUUCCUUGGAGAUGCCUGCCCUUGCUUUUAGGAAUCUGCUCUAGACUCCUCAACGCUGUUUCUUUUUAAAGUUGUAUAGAGUAUUUGACAAUGAGGUUCACACACUUUGAGAAGUUCUCUAGUACUUCUAGAAGCUGGGGGAAGAAGGAAAGCAGACUUAAUUCCAGGGGACAUUGCACAAGAUUCUCAGAACUGUAGAGCUCAAGGGUUCUGGAAAACAAACUUCUUCUGGAAUUAAAAAAUUUGGAACAACAUUUGAAAUAUUUGUAAAGAUGGCAAGUUUUUCUUAUCUUUUGAUACUCAUGCUAGUAGAUCUGAUCACACUUAAUUUUAAUAAUGCUAUGCUAUUAUAAAUGUAUAAAGGAAUUCAAGGCAUAUGCUGGUGAGAAACUAUAAGAGGAAGUAGCAAUAACUUCAUUUUACAAAUGCUGAAAUUGAAGCAAGUAAAUUUUAAUCAUUAUUCCAAAGUUAACACAACAGUGUAGGAUCAUAACCCAGGAUUCCUGACUGUCAGAUUCCUGGCUUACCUAACUGGAUACCUGGUGUCAUAUCUCUCAUAAUCUUCUCUUUCUCUCUCUUAGUCUCUCUUUCUUCACACCUUUUUUCCCCCAACUCCUGUAAGAGACAGGUUUGCAUCAUGGCUAAGAGCAUGGACCUUGGGAUGAGAAAUACUGGCUCUUCCACUCUCUAGCAGUGUGCCUAAAGGUACCGUUUUUGAUAUUCUCUUGUUUCAUGUUCCUCAUCUAUAAGAAGGGGCUGCUAAUGGUACCUAUUUUAUAUGGCUAUUGUUGAAAACUAAAUAGGCUGUUACAGGUAAACUGUCUUGCCCAGAAGAAGGCCCUCAAUACAUGUUACAUAUUAUCUAUUCCCAUAGCCUUUUCUAUGAAGACUUCCUUGCUUUUCUUUCUCCUGCCCUCUUUUUAUCCACAGUUACUAUCAACUCUCUAACCUGUGUUUGUUCCCAUUAGGUACCCCUCUUUCUGGAUCUCCCCUGCAGAAUUUUACCAUAACCUGUGGUCUGUACUUGUUUGCCAAUGAGCAGACAACUUCAGACAGAGAAGCUACAGGACAGAUUGUGAUGAUAACGAGAUCCCCUAGAGCUCGAAGAGGAAGUGUUGGAAAGGACAGGAUUGGAGGCAAGAAGGUUAGUAAAGAGGCAAUGACAGCUGUGUGACAAGGGCCAGCUCUGGGAGAAUGGCAGUGGGGAUGGAGAACAGGACAACAGGAAAGGAGCAAAAUGAGGAGGCAGAAUCUACAGAAUCUGGUUAUCAAGGGUAGGAGAGAGGAAGAAGUCGAGGAUGAUGUCUGGGUUUCUGACUUAGUUGGGCCUGGACAUAGAGAUCUGAAGGUCAAAACUGUAGUGGGAACAAUUGCAGGUAAGGGAAUAGGGGAGACUGCCCAGGGGCAGUGGUGUGCAGAGGAAUAAGAUAAGAGGACCAAGGCAGAUUUCUGAGAAGUUUCAACACUUAAGAGUUGGGCAGAGCAAGAACAGCAUAAAGAAACUUGGAGGAGGAAAAGACUAAAGCAGAGAACAUGAGGUGAGAUAGAGUAAGACCUGAGAGAGACCGCGCUACAGAACUAUAAGUUGUACUUUAUUAAGGAGUUAGGUUUUACAAGGGUGUUAAGAAAACAAGAAAUAAAUAUUCAUUAAACAUUUGCCGAGGCCCUAAAUUUCUAAGCUUAGAAGUUCCCCCACCCCACCAAUCACAUUAGAAUAGACAGCUUCAUAGAAACAUAAAGCUAAACAUUUAAAUAUCAAAUAAAGCAAUCAAAACAAAAAGGCUAAUAUCAGAUUGAGGAUAAAUGUUUGCGAAUGUUUAUGGUCAGGAAAAUAUCAUCUUUAGAAAAAGAGCUUUUGCAAAUUGUUAAGGAAAAAUCGCUAAGAAUGGGACAGAUCAAUAAGUAAAAAACUUGGGAUAAUUCACAAAGGGGCAAAUAUAACAAAUAAGUCCAUGGGGAAAAGUUUACUGUCGCUAAUAGCAAAGGCAUCUAUUUUAGAACAAAGAGGCACUACUUUCCUUUUAGUAGUUAGCAAAGAAAUUCUUAAAUAAUAAUAUAACAAUUCUAGCAAGUAUUUGGUUGAACUAGUAUUCCUAAGGAUUGUUGGCACUCUAUACUGGUAUAUACUUUUGGGAAAAAUAUUUGUUAGAAUGAAUCCGGAACCACAAAUUGUUCUUGUACACAGUUUUGCUAAUGUCUCCUGAAAAUUCAAAUGAUAGCACGUGUAUAAAUAUUUUUGUUAAAUCACAGAAUUAUAAAAAUUAGAAUUUACCAACAAGACUGUUGCUAAAUAACAUACAGUGUGGCCUAUUAUAAGGCUACUAUAAAAAAAAGGUUACAAAUAUUAUAUAAAAACCUCUUAAAAUGGUGAUAUAGUAUUUGUGAAUUAAAAACAGGAUAUAUAACUAUAUGUAUGCUGAAUAUAGCUACAUAGACUAUUAAUAUUACAAAACUAGAAAGAGUUAUACUAACAUGUUGACAAUGGUUGUCUUCUUGUGGUUGGGCUGAGCAUAAUAUUUCUUCUGUUUUCUAUCAU
Molecule: long non-coding RNA, 3392 nt
Organism: Pan troglodytes (chimpanzee)
Lineage: Eukaryota; Metazoa; Chordata; Mammalia; Primates; Hominidae
Exons: 4
Source: RefSeq, a predicted model, not a curated record